UGGGGAAUAUUGCGCAAUGGGGGGAACCCUGACGCAGCCAUGCCGCGUGAAUGAAGAAGGCCUUAGGGUUGUAAAGUUCUUUCGGUAUUGAGGAAGGUUGAUGUGUUAAUAGCACAUCAAAUUGACGUUAAAUACAGAAGAAGCACCGGCUAACUCCGUGCCAGCAGCCGCGGUAAUACGGAGGGUGCGAGCGUUAAUCGGAAUAACUGGGCGUAAAGGGCACGCAGGCGGUUAUUUAAGUGAGGUGUGAAAGCCCUGGGCUUAACCUAGGAAUUGCAUUUCAGACUGGGUAACUAGAGUACUUUAGGGAGGGGUAGAAUUCCACGUGUAGCGGUGAAAUGCGUAGAGAUGUGGAGGAAUACUGAAGGCGAAGGCAGCCCCUUGGGAAUGUACUGACGCUCAUGUGCGAAAGCGUGGGGAGCAAACAGGAUUAGAUACCCUGGUAGUCCACGCUGUAAACGCUGUCGAUUUGGGGGUUGGGGUUUAACUCUGGCGCCCGUAGCUAACGUGAUAAAUCGACCGCCUGGGGAGUACGGCCGCAAGGUUA
This 547-nucleotide ribosomal RNA is filed under the name uncultured bacterium. Its description in RNAcentral is "bacterial SSU rRNA". It matches the Rfam family "Bacterial small subunit ribosomal RNA", at positions 355 to 896 of the family's 1533-position model. The record is from RNAcentral.